AUUGAACGCUGGCGGCAGGCCUAACACAUGCAAGUCGAACGGUAACAGGAAGCAGCUUGCUGCUUUGCUGACGAGUGGCGGACGGGUGAGUAAUGUCUGGGAAACUGCCUGAUGGAGGGGGAUAACUACUGGAAACGGUAGCUAAUACCGCAUAACGUCGCAAGACCAAAGAGGGGGACCUUAGGGCCUCUUGCCAUCGGAUGUGCCCAGAUGGGAUUAGCUAGUAGGUGGGGUAACGGCUCACCUAGGCGACGAUCCCUAGCUGGUCUGAGAGGAUGACCAGCCACACUGGAACUGAGACACGGCCCGGACUCCUACGGGAGGCAGCGGAGGGGAAUAUUGCACAAUGGGCGCAAGCCUAAUGCAGACAUGCCGCGUGUAUGGCAAAGGCCUUCGGGUUGUAGAGUACUUUCAGCGGGGUGGAAGGGAGUAAAGUUAAUACCUUUGCUCAUUGACGUUACCCGCAGAAGAAGCACCGGCUAACUCCGUG
This 490-nucleotide ribosomal RNA is filed under the name uncultured bacterium. RNAcentral's name for it is "partial 16S ribosomal RNA". It matches the Rfam family "Bacterial small subunit ribosomal RNA", at positions 30 to 507 of the family's 1533-position model. The record is from RNAcentral.